UCGCAUCUGUGCAUGCAGCAUAUCAAUAAGCGGAGGAAAAGAAACUAACAAGGAUUCCCUCAGUAACGGCGAGUGAAGCGGGAAGAGCUCAAAUUUGAAAUCUUGAAAGGUCACCUUUCACGAAUUGUAGUUUAAAGAAGUGUUUUCUGUUACGAUCGUAAUAUAAGUUCUUUGGAAUAGGACAUCACAGAGGGUGAGAAUCCCGUCUAUGAUUGCGAUUUGUAGCUUUGUGAUACACUUUCAAAGAGUCGGGUUGUUUGGGAAUGCAGCCCAAAACGGGAGGUAAAUUUCUUCUAAGGCUAAAUAUUGGCGAGAGACCGAUAGCGAACAAGUACCGUGAGGGAAAGAUGAAAAGAACUUUGAAAAGAGAGUUAAACAGUACGUGAAAUUGUCAAAAGGGAAGCGUUUAACACCAGUGUUGUUUUCCGAAAAUCAACCUCUGUUAGCUUUAUGCAUGUUUGUUUAGACCUAAUCAGCUAUCUUGCAUGUUCUAUUGUUUGCAGUGGUGCACUUUUCAGUUUACAGGUCAACAUCAGUUUUUUUACCGUAAAAAAGUUAAAGAAAGGUAGCUCAUGGCUCCGGUCGUGAGUGUUAUAGUCUUUUUCCUAUGCGGUAGGAGAGACUGAGGUCUGCAGUGUAGGCUAUUUGGCUAGAUACUCAGGUGCUAUGUGAUACCAUUUCAUAAACAACUUGUUGAUUAUGUUUUGUCUAUUGCAUACUCGCUUGUACUAUCAUACCUACGCUUAGGAUGUUGACGAUCAGCUGAGCGCG
This 771-nucleotide ribosomal RNA is filed under the name uncultured Neocallimastigales. RNAcentral's name for it is "partial large subunit ribosomal RNA". It matches the Rfam family "Eukaryotic large subunit ribosomal RNA", at positions 24 to 633 of the family's 3401-position model. The record is from RNAcentral. Lineage: Eukaryota; Fungi; Neocallimastigomycota; Neocallimastigomycetes; Neocallimastigales.